CUCUUUUUUUCUUCUUUUCAUGGCAUUUGGUACUAUUAUCAAUCAUCAAUUUUGUCGAAAAACCAUGAAGAAAGAAGCCCCUAUUUUAUCAACAAAUCUCUCCCUUUUUUUAGCCACCGACAUCACCAUCCCUUGAAGGUGAGCCUUAAUAUGAGUACCUCUGCCUCCCACAAGCCUCCACGACAAAUCCACGAUUGCUGAUGAAUGAUGGAUGGCCAAAUAU
This 223-nucleotide long non-coding RNA is filed under the name Elaeis guineensis (African oil palm). RNAcentral's name for it is "long non-coding RNA (EGUI_LNC039847)". The record is from RNAcentral. Lineage: Eukaryota; Viridiplantae; Streptophyta; Magnoliopsida; Arecales; Arecaceae.